Molecule: long non-coding RNA, 231 nt
Filed under: Nicotiana benthamiana
Lineage: Eukaryota; Viridiplantae; Streptophyta; Magnoliopsida; Solanales; Solanaceae
Description: long non-coding RNA (NBEN_LNC025707)
Source: RNAcentral
ACAAACUGGUUUUUCGUAACUACAUUUGACUACAAACAACUACAAUUGACUACAAUGAACUACAAUUGACUACAUAUAACUACAAUUAACUACAAUUGAAUACAUUAACUACAAUUGUAUACAACUGCAUAAAUAAAAAUAAUAGUUUAAUUUUGAAAAUGAACAACUAACUACAAACCUUCUACAACUUGAUCUUUUAACUCUGAACUGGAACUUCUGCAUAACUGCAUA